GGGCCGAUAGAUCAGGGGUAGAUCGCUACCUUGGCAUGGUAGAGGCCGCGGGUUCAAUUCCCGCUCGGUCCAUCA
This 75-nucleotide transfer RNA is filed under the name Methanosphaerula palustris E1-9c. RNAcentral's name for it is "tRNA-Ala". It matches the Rfam family "tRNA". Rfam says of the family: Transfer RNA (tRNA) molecules are approximately 80 nucleotides in length. Their secondary structure includes four short double-helical elements and three loops (D, anti-codon, and T loops). Further hydrogen bonds mediate the characteristic L-shaped molecular structure. tRNAs have two regions of fundamental functional importance: the anti-codon, which is responsible for specific mRNA codon recognition, and the 3' end, to which the tRNAs corresponding amino acid is attached (by aminoacyl-tRNA synthetases). tRNAs cope with the degeneracy of the genetic code in two manners: having more than one tRNA (with a specific anti-codon) for a particular amino acid; and 'wobble' base-pairing, i.e. permitting non-standard base-pairing at the 3rd anti-codon position. Lineage: Archaea; Methanobacteriati; Methanobacteriota; Methanomicrobia; Methanomicrobiales; Methanoregulaceae. The record is from RNAcentral.